Molecule: ribosomal RNA, 533 nt
Filed under: uncultured bacterium
Lineage: Bacteria
Description: bacterial SSU rRNA
Rfam family: Bacterial small subunit ribosomal RNA
Source: RNAcentral
CGACUGGCGGCAUGCCUUACACAUGCAAGUCGAACGGCAGCACGGGGGUGACCCUGGUGGCGAGGUGGCGGACGGGUGAGUAAUACAUCGGAACGUAUCCUGGGAGUGGGGGAUAACGUAGCGAAAGUUACGCUAAUACCGCAUAUACUGUGAGCAGGAAAGCAGGGGCUCGCAAGACCUUGCGCUCUGGGAGCGGCCGAUGUCGGAUUAGCUAGUUGGUGGGGUAAAGGCCUACCAAGGCGACGAUCCGUAGCGGGUCUGAGAGGAUGAUCCGCCACACUGGGACUGAGACACGGCCCAGACUCCUACGGGAGGCAGCAGUGGGGAAUUUUGGACAAUGGGCGGAAGCCUGAUCCAGCCAUGCCGCGUGAGUGAAGAAGGCCUUCGGGUUGUAAAGCUCUUUCGGUGGGGAAGAAAUUGCACGGGUUAAUACCCUGUGUAGAUGACGGUACCCGACUAAGAAGCACCGGCUAACUACGUGCCAGCAGCCGCGGUAAUACGUAGGGUGCGAGCGUUAAUCGGAAUUACUGGGC